CUCUCUGUCACCUCCGUGUUAGCGAGGCGUCGGUCAACAAGCGCACACAGACGCAUUCAGACGCCGGGGACACGUUACGGGAAGCGGACUUUUUAAUGGCUUGUAUACGCAUAGCUGGGGGCGGAGCUACGGCUUCUGUAAUUUGACUGCGCUUCCUAUUCGGUGGACGACUGCAAUGGCAGUCCAAAACGAGAGCCCUGCUCGUAAAUGUCGGGACGCCUUUAUCGAAGGAGCGGAGAGGAACUCACCCGAACGCCCCUCUUGCCUGGCAGGCCCGGCUUCCCUGGAGGUCCUUGCAGUCCCUGCAAAGCGAAGGAAAAAAAAAAUCACUGUGUUGCCUUUUGACUGACGGCGGAACAAACUCAAUCAACCAUCACGUUAGCGAGGUCCGAGCUAAUUCCAUUAGCAGGUUGAAAGAGGAUGCAAUUUGUCCAAGUGGAAGAGUCUGACUGAGACAUCAGGUGAGAUUCAGCUCCCACAGAUAAAAGUGAUGGACGACAGCCGGCCUCGCACGACGCGGCACAAUUGCGCCGACGCUCAAAGUUGAACGGUAGGCGAUUGUUUUCACUUGAUCUUGGUAGGAGGAGUGCAGAGAAGGAAUCGCUUGCACGUUUCCCCCGUUUAAAGACGGCGGGCGGCAGGUGGUAACAGCCAGGACUCCGAGUCUUGUGCAAGUGACUUGCCAUCUGUUGCUUUAUUUAGGAUAAUUGUCAGUCCAUUUUAUGGCAUUCCAAAUAAGCCAAGUUUGUAGCCAUUUUGUUUGCACAUGCGCCUAUUAAUUUUGCUCUUCCCGAGAAUUGUUUCUAAUUUCAGAUCUAGGGAGUUGCGCAAUGACAGCUUUUCCAAUUUAUUGUACUGGCACGGAGGUACAGAGCGUGAGUUCUUCUGCCACCCAAGGUGGUCGCAUCCCCAUGCUGACCCUACGCCAGUCAAAAACCUGAUCCGUCAAUCACAGCGUGACUCCUUGACAAGGGCGGGCAUGAAGAAGACACACCGGUGGCCGGUCGCUGGCUGGCUGAGGCGGUCACGCGUCGCUACGGAAGCUCCGGGAAAGAAAAGGCAUGUUGAC
Molecule: long non-coding RNA, 1069 nt
Organism: Syngnathus typhle (broad-nosed pipefish)
Lineage: Eukaryota; Metazoa; Chordata; Actinopteri; Syngnathiformes; Syngnathidae
Exons: 3
Source: RefSeq, a predicted model, not a curated record